Molecule: long non-coding RNA, 4192 nt
Organism: Nerophis ophidion (straightnose pipefish)
Lineage: Eukaryota; Metazoa; Chordata; Actinopteri; Syngnathiformes; Syngnathidae
Exons: 3
Source: RefSeq, a predicted model, not a curated record
UCUGAUGAAUAAAAUACAUAUUGACCUUGUAUUGUAGAUGACCAGACUCCCCUUCCCCCCCACAAAUUGACCUUGUAGUUAACAAAAACCAUGAGGACACAAAUAAAAUACACAUUUACCUUGUAUUGUAGAUGACCAAAGUUUAACUACAAGAUCAAUUUGUGGGGUUUUUUUUUUUGUCAUUGUUUUUGUUUCCUCGUGGUUUUUGAUAUCUACAAUACAAGGUAAAUGGUUUUUUUUUUCUGUUUUUUAUCUUCAAGGUCAAUUUUGUGGGGUCUAGUCAUCUAUAAUACAGGGUCAGUAUGUAUUUGUGUCAUGGUUUUUAACUACAAGGUCAGUAUGUAUUUAACCUGUGUCACUGUUUUUGUUUCCUCAUGGUUUGUGAUAUCUACAAUACAAGGUCAAUAUGUAUUUAAUUUGUCAAGGUUUUUGUUAUCUACAAGGUAAAUUUUAAGGAGUGUGGGCAUCAAAAAUACAAGGUAAAUUUGUAUUUUAACUACAAGGUCAGUCUGUAUAUUGUGUCAUUGUUUUUGUUUCCUCAUGUUUUUUUAUAUCUACAAUACAAGGUCAAUGUAUAUUUUAUUUGUGUCAUGGUUUCUAUUAACAACAAGGUCUAUUUUGGGGGGUGUCUCAUCUCUAAUACAAGGUCAAUAUGUCUUUUUUUGUCAUGGUUUUUAACUACAAAGUCAAUAUUUAAUUUGCCAUGUUUUUUGUUAUCUACAAGGUCAAUUUUAAAGAAUCUGGUCAUCUACAAUACAAGGUAAAUUUGUAUUUUAUUUGUCAUGGUUUUUGUUACUACAAGGUUGGUAUGUAUUUUGGGCUUUUUUUGUUUUGUUUCCUCGUGGUUUUUGAUAUCUACAAUUCAAGGUUAAUAUCUAUUAGGUCAAGUUUAAGAUGUCAGGUCAUCUAUAAUACAAGGUAAAUUUUGUAUUUAAUUAGUGUCCAUGGAUUUUGUUGUCUACAAGGUCAAUUUUAAGGAGUCUUGUCUUCUACAAUACAAGGUAAAUUUGUAUUUCAUUUGUCAUGGUUUUUGUUAUCUAUUAGGUCAAUUUUAAGAAGUCUGGUAAUCUACAAUACAAGGUAAAUAUUUUAUUUGUCAUGGUUUUUGUUAACUACAAGGUCAAUUUGCGGGGUUUUGGUCAUAUACAAUAAAAGGUCAGUAUGUAUUUAGUUUGUGUUUUUUGUUUCCUCAUGUUUUUGAUAUCUACAAUUCGUCUAUUUUGUGUCAUCAUGGUUUCUAUUAACUACAAGGUCAAUUUUGGGUUCUGGUCAUUUUCAAUCCAAGUUCGAUUUGUAUUUAAUUUGUGUCCUUUUCGUCCUCAAGGUCACUUUUGCGGGUCUGGUCAUCUACAAUACAAGGUCAACAUGUAUUUCAUUUGUCAUGGUUUCUAUUAAUUACAUGUUUGGGGGGCUCUGGUCAUGUACAAUGCAAGGUAAAUUUGUAUUUAAUUAGUGUCCAUGGAUUUAGUUGUCUACAAGGUCAAUUUUAAGGAGUCUUCUACAAUACAAGGUAAAUUUGUAUUUUAUUUGUCAUGGUUUUUGUUAUUACAAGGUCGGUAUGUAUUUGGGCCUUUUUUUUUUUCCUCAUGGUUUUUGAUAUCUACAAUACAAGGUUAAUAUGUAUUUCAUUUGUCAUGGUUUUUCUUAUCUACAAGGUCAAUUUGAAGGAGUCUGUUCAUCUACAAUACAAGGUAAAUUUGUAUUUUAUUUGUGUCAUGGUUUUUAACUACAAGGUCAGUAUGUAUUUAACUUGUGUCACUGUUUUUGUUUCCUCAUGGUUUUUGAUAUCUACAAUACAAGGUUAAUAUGUAUUUCAUUUGUCAUGGUUUUUAUUAACAAGGUCAAUUUUGGGGGGUGGGGGAUCAUCUAUAAUACAAGGUCAAUAUGUAUUUUUUUUUGUCAUGGUUUUCAACUACAAAGUCAAUAUGUAAUUUGUCAUGUUUUUUGUUAUCUACAAGGUCAAUUUUAAAGAAUCUGGUCACCUACAAUACAAGGUAAAUUUAUUUUAUUUGUGUCAUGGUUUUUAACUACAUGGUCAGUAUGUAUUUAACCUGUGUCACUGUGUUUCCUCAUGGUUUGUGAUAUCUACAAUACAAGGUCAAUAUGUAUUUAAUUUGUCAUGAUUUUUGUUAUCUACAAGGUAAAUUUUAAGGAGUGUGGGCAUCAAAAAUACAAGGUAAAUUUGUAUUUUAACUACACGGUCAGUACGUAUAUUGUCAUUGUUUUUGUUUCCUCAUGGUUUUUGAUAUCCUCUAAUACAAGGUCAAUGUAUAUUUUAUUUGUGUCAUGGUUUCUAUUAACAACAAUGUCAAUUUUGGGGGGUGUCUGAUCAUCUAUAAUAAAAGGUCAAUAGUGAAGUGAAUGAUAUUUAUAUAGCGCUUUUCUCAAGUGACUCAAAGCGCUUUACAUAGUGAAACCCAAUAUCUAAGUUACAUUUAAACCAGUGUGGGUGGCACUGGGAGCAGGUGGGUAAAGUGUCUUGCCCAAGGACACAACGGCAGUAACUAGGAUGGCACAAGCGGGAAUCGAACCUGCAACCCUCAAGUUGCUGACACGGCCUCCCUACCAACCGAGCUAUACACUGUCAAACUCGUUUGCACUUGCACUUGCACUUGCACUUGCAUGGCUUAAUCUUUGAGACAAGCAUAUGCUACAAUAUGUAUUUUUUUUGUCAUGGUUUUUAACUACAAAGUCAAUAUGUAAUUUGUCAUGUUUUUUGUUAUCUACAAGGUCAAUUUUAAAGAGUCUGGUAAUCUACAAUACAAGGUCAAUUUGUAUUUUAUUUGUCAUGGUUUUUGUUACUACAAGGUUGGUAUGUAUUUCGGGACUUUUUUUUUUUUUAGGGUUAGGGUUUGGCCUUUGUUUUAAUGUUUUUGAUAUCUACAAUAAGUUUAUGUAUUUUGUCGUCAUGGUUUCUAUUAACUACAAGGUCAAUUUUGGGGUUCUGGUCAUCUACAAUCCAAGUUAGAUUUGUAUUUAAUUUGUGUCCUUUUUAUCUUCAAGGUCACUUUUGCACAUAUGGUCAUCUACAAUACAAGGUCACUAUGUAUUUCAUUUGUCAUGGUUUCUAUUAAUUACAAGGUCAAUUUUGGGGGGCUUUGGUUAUCUACAAUACAAAGUAAAUAUGUAUAUUUUGCCAUGGUAUUUAUCUACAAGGUCAAUUUUGGGGGUCUGGUUAUCUAUAAUACAAGGUCAAUAUGAAUUUUAUUUGUGUCUCGUGGUUUUUAUCUACAAGGUCAAUUUUGGGGGUCUGGUCAUCUACAAUACAAGGUCAAUAUGUAUUUCCUUUGUCAUGGUUUUUGUUAUCUACAAGGUCAAUUUUGGGGGUCUGGUCAUCUACAAUACAAGGUCAAUAUGUAUUUCCUUUGUCAUGGUUUUUGUUAUCUACAAGGUCAAUUUUAAGGAGUCUGGUCUUCUACAAUACAAGGUCAGUAUGUAUUUAAUUUGUGUCCUCAUGGUUUUUGUUUUCUACAAGGUCAAUUUUAGGAGUCUUGUCAUCGACAAUACAUGUUAAAUAUGUAUUUAAUUUGUGUCAUGGUUUUUCAUAUCUACAAGGUCAAUAUGUAUAUAAUUUGUGUCCUCAUGGUGUUUGUUUCCUCAGUUUUUGAUAUCUACAAGGUCAAAAUUGGUUUAUUCCACUAUGCAAUGCAACACUCUUACCUAAUGUUAUCCAUUUAUUCAUUCAUGUGACUAAUUUCUCAUUCUUACACCCUGCAGCGCUACAACAGUACACAAGUCUUACACAAUGUGUUAUGGGUCACGUUCCUGCUUCUCCUCCUGCUGUGCGGACUGAGUGCAUGGCGGAGCACAUAAACAGGUGUUCCCUCUCCGCUGCGGGUGUGCCUCUGCAAGAGAUCUGCAAUCAACACACCUGCCGGUGAUGAGCAACCAGCCUUCAUAAGCCAGCGCGUCUUAAGAUCCGGUGCCAGAACGUAGUUUCUCCUACCAGUACACUUCCUCGUCGUCUACCUGGACCCACUUUGGAUUCCUUCUUGCCUUCCUGGACCAAGACCUCGCUCCUGCCCUCUGACGUCCAAGCCUUUUUCUCCUUUUGGACUUCCACCUCUAUCUCAACACGCACACUCAACACCCUCUGGUGACCACGCUCAGAUAAUACUUACACAUAGUCACACUCCAUCUCUUUAAGGUAAUCACACACUGCACUCACAUACUGAGUUGUCAAUAAACACGC